UUGGGAGCUCACUGGCUUCGAAGUAAUGGGAACUCCGAAGUUAAGAGAGUUGGGGCCAGAGCAAUCCCAGAAUGGGUGACCCAUUGGAAAGUUGUAAGUGAGUUCCCAAA
RNAcentral lists this ribosomal RNA (110 nucleotides) under Prunus dulcis (almond). Lineage: Eukaryota; Viridiplantae; Streptophyta; Magnoliopsida; Rosales; Rosaceae. The record is from RNAcentral.